Ilyonectria robusta is the source of this 88-nucleotide non-coding RNA. NCBI's taxonomy places the organism in Eukaryota, Fungi, Ascomycota, Sordariomycetes, Hypocreales, Nectriaceae. The record is from the annotation of a RefSeq genome assembly.
GCUUUCAUCGUCUAGUGGUUAGGACACCAGUUUGUGGUUAACCGCAUUCAAAACACUGGAAACGGCCGUUCGAUUCUGCCUGGAAGCA